Long non-coding RNA from Perognathus longimembris pacificus (Pacific pocket mouse), 381 nucleotides. RefSeq lists it as uncharacterized. Lineage: Eukaryota; Metazoa; Chordata; Mammalia; Rodentia; Heteromyidae. The record is from RefSeq and is a predicted model, not a curated record. The transcript has 3 exons.
CUGUGCCCGGGGCCGCCCGCCCCGCCGGCCUCCGGGGCUUGGGCUCGGGCGCCCGCGUCCUCGAGUUGUUGGGUUUUUCUUUCCUUUCCGCGCGUGUUUGCAGGGGAGGCCGGGCCGCUCCUCCCCCGCUCGGCGCGUGCUCAUUCCAUUCUUUUUGUAGACUUUGGGCCCACGUGUUUUCUGGGCAUUGAUACAUAUAUAAAUAUAUAGAUAUAGAUAUAUGACUCUAUUUUUUUAAGUUUCCUACGUCUGGAGGUAGCAUGGACCGUUUGCCCGGCAUGUCUUUAUAGUGUAGACAGAUUUUGCACGCCAGACUCGGCAGCUUUGGGGAAGAGGAAGAAAAUGCCUUCGGUCCCCCCCUCCCGACAUACGCAGGCUUCG